Molecule: transfer RNA, 74 nt
Filed under: Kiritimatiellia bacterium
Lineage: Bacteria; Pseudomonadati; Kiritimatiellota; Kiritimatiellia
Description: Kiritimatiellae bacterium (gut metagenome) tRNA-Trp
Rfam family: tRNA
About the family: Transfer RNA (tRNA) molecules are approximately 80 nucleotides in length.
Source: RNAcentral
AGGCCAGUAGUUCAAUGGCAGAGCAGCAGUCUCCAAAACUGCCUAUGGGGGUUCGAAUCCCUCCUGGCCUGCCA